UACGUAGGGGGCAAGCGUUGUCCGGAUUUAUUGGGCGUAAAGAGCGUGUAGGCGGCUAUACAGGUCCGCUGUGAAAACUCGAGGCUCAACCUCGAGACGUCGGUGGAAACCGUAUGGCUAGAGUCCGGAAGAGGAGAGUGGAAUUCCUGGUGUAGCGGUGAAAUGCGCAGAUAUCAGGAAGAACACCCGUGGCGAAAGCGGCUCUCUGGAACGGUACUGACGCUGAGACGCGAAAGCGUGGGGAGCGAACAGG
Molecule: ribosomal RNA, 253 nt
Filed under: uncultured bacterium
Lineage: Bacteria
Description: partial 16S ribosomal RNA
Rfam family: Bacterial small subunit ribosomal RNA
Source: RNAcentral